Molecule: ribosomal RNA, 313 nt
Filed under: uncultured Lentisphaerota bacterium
Lineage: Bacteria; Pseudomonadati; Lentisphaerota
Description: bacterial SSU rRNA
Rfam family: Bacterial small subunit ribosomal RNA
Source: RNAcentral
AACGAACGCUGGCGGCAUGGAUUAGGCAUGCAAGUCGAACGCAUGUAGCAAUACAUGAGUGGCGCAAGGGUGAGGAACACGUGAGUAAACUGCCCUUUAGUUGGGAAUAACUCUACGAAAGUGGAGCUAAUACCGAAUGUGGCAUAUAGAUUGCAUGAUUUAUAUGCUAAAGAUUUAUUGCUAAAGGAUGUGCUCGCGUCCCAUUAGCUUGUUGGUGAGGUAACGGCUCACCAAGGCAAUGACGGGUAGGUGGUCUGAGAGGAUGGUCACCCACACUGGGACUGAGAACUGCCCAGACUCCUACGGGAGGCAG